UACAGAGGGGGCAAGCGUUAUUCGGAAUUAUUGGGCGUAAAGGGCGCGUAGGCGGCCUGGCAAGUGGAAGGUGAAAUCCCUCGGCUUAACCGAGGAACUGCCUCCCAAACUGCUUGGCUUGAGACCAGGAGAGGUGAGUGGAAUUCCCAGUGUAGCGGUGAAAUGCGUAGAUAUUGGGAAGAACACCAGUGGCGAAGGCGGCUCACUGGCCCGUAACUGACGCUGAGGUGCGAAAGCGUGGGGAGCAAACAGG
RNAcentral lists this ribosomal RNA (253 nucleotides) under uncultured bacterium. Its description in RNAcentral is "partial 16S ribosomal RNA". It matches the Rfam family "Bacterial small subunit ribosomal RNA", at positions 524 to 776 of the family's 1533-position model. The record is from RNAcentral.